GACGUAGGGGGCCAGCGUUGCUCGGAAUAACUGGGCGUAAAGGGUCCGUAGGCGGUGCAGCAAGUCGGGAGUGAAAUCUCUGGGCUUAACUCAGAGACUGCUUCCGAAACUGCUGUGCUCGAGUGCGAGAGAGGCGAGUGGAAUUGCAGGUGUAGCGGUGAAAUGCGUAGAUAUCUGCAGGAACACCAGAGGCGAAAGCGGCUCGCUGGAUCGCAACUGACGCUGAGGGACGAAAGCUAGGGGAGCAAACAGG
RNAcentral lists this ribosomal RNA (253 nucleotides) under uncultured bacterium. RNAcentral describes it as "partial 16S ribosomal RNA". It matches the Rfam family "Bacterial small subunit ribosomal RNA", at positions 524 to 776 of the family's 1533-position model. The record is from RNAcentral.